RNAcentral lists this ribosomal RNA (593 nucleotides) under uncultured organism. Its description in RNAcentral is "bacterial SSU rRNA". It matches the Rfam family "Bacterial small subunit ribosomal RNA", at positions 92 to 683 of the family's 1533-position model. The record is from RNAcentral.
AGAGCGGCGCACGGGUGAGUAACGCGUACGUAACCUGCCCUUCAGUGGGGAAUAGCGGGGGGAAGCUGGGAUNNAUGCCCCAUGGUACUUUCGAUCUGCCUGGAUUGAAAGUUAAAGCUUCGGCGCUGAAGGAUGGACGUGCGUCUGAUNAGCUGGUUGGUGAGGUAACGGCUCACCAAGGCGACGAUCAGUAGGGGGCGUGAGAGCGUGACCCCCCACACGGGUACUGAGACACGGACCCGACUCCUACGGGAGGCAGCAGUAAGGAAUAUUGGGCAAUGGAGGCAACUCUGACCCAGCCAUCCCGCGUGCAGGAAGACGGCCCUACGGGUUGUAAACUGCUUUUAUGAAGGAAGAAAGGUUGGCAUUUAUGCUGAUUUGACGGUACUUUAGGAAUAAGCACCGGCUAACUCCGUGCCAGCAGCCGCGAGUAUACGGAGGGUGCGAGCGUUAUCCGGAAUCACUGGGUUUAAAGGGUGCGUAGGCGGACUGAUAAGUCAGAGGUGAAAGUCUGCGGCUUAACCGUAGAAUUGCCUUUGAUACUGUUGGGCUUGAGUCAGGUAGAGGUUGGCGGAAUGUGACAUGUAGCGGUG